Acanthosepion pharaonis is the source of this 112-nucleotide non-coding RNA. NCBI's taxonomy places the organism in Eukaryota, Metazoa, Mollusca, Cephalopoda, Sepiida, Sepiidae. The record is from the annotation of a GenBank genome assembly.
ACGUCUACAUCACGUUGAAACAACGGUUUCCGUAAGAUCACCGAAGUUAAGCAACGUCAAGCCUGGUCAGUACCUAGACAGGUAACCGCUGGGGUAUACCGGGUGUUGUAAG